GAAGCUGGAAUUGCUAGUAAUGGCAGGUCAGCAUACUGCCGUGAAUACGUUCCCGGGCCUUGUACACACCGCCCGUCACACCAUGAGAGUUGGGGAUACCCGAAGCCUGUGAGCCAACUGUAAAGAGGCAGCAGUCGAAGGUAGAAUCAAUGAUUGGGGUGAAGUCGUAACAAGGUAUC
Molecule: ribosomal RNA, 179 nt
Filed under: uncultured bacterium
Lineage: Bacteria
Description: partial 16S ribosomal RNA
Rfam family: Bacterial small subunit ribosomal RNA
Source: RNAcentral